AGUGAAAGCUGGGUGGAGGAGGCAGCAGCUACUACCUGUCCCAGUGCGAUGGAAGGGGAAUAGGAAGCAAAUGCUGGCAGCGGUAACAUUACUCUGCUUGUGCAGAUAAAAAUGGCUCCUUCCAGUUAGACAGCUGGAGAGCGAGCCAAUAAAAGAGAUGUCAUUCCGGAUACAAAAUUCCCUCGCUGUGUUGGGAUGCUGAGCAGGAGGCAGUGGGGACUGGGACGCAGUAAAUGUGUGGGUUUCCACAGGAUGGGCCACGCGCCCGCAACAACACGGGGUGCAAGACUAAAACAAGACUCUUUGCGUCCAAUGUCUGAGAUUGCUGAAAAGCAGUGCACAAACUCAGUGCCAGCCUGGUCAAGUGACACGCGUUCAUUGGUGAUUACCCCUUUCCCGAAAUGUUCCAAGAGAACGUUCAAGACUUGGGGUUCUUUACUCAUUUGUGUUAGAAUCCCGCUUGCUGCUACUCCGCUGCCUUCCUCCCCUGGCAGAAUAUUUCGCCAGUUGCCAAUGUCAUAGGCAAAAUUCCCAGGUCUAAAAGAGCAGGUUGGUCUUCUUACCAGUUGCCUGCAAAAGGCACAAAGCUAUCACAAUGGUACCCAUUGCUAUCUGACUUAUACUAGAGUCAAAACAGCAGGCCCUACCUCGUUAUGGAGAAACAUCCUCUGUCAGGGAGGCAAUAUGAUGCCUUAUGCAGAGGGUCUGGACUUUGCAUCUAUAAUUCCUAUGAUCCUAUCUAGCUCCUGCUCAGGAAUGGUUUCAUUCUUGUUUCUCACACCAGAAGUCCCAGUCUUGAGACAAUGUCAAGGAAAAGUCUUGUAUAAAUGCAAUUAUCUGUUUCUACAGGUUUGUAGCCUUAAAAAAAACAAACGCCUUGUAACACAAACGUUCCAUUCAGUAAAAUAAAUAAAAUAACAGCAAAGAGCUGCGUCUAUUGUGUCCUACUCUCCAGCUCUCUGUCACUAUGGUUGGUCUUGGCAAAAUGUGCAGCUCAUGGCAAACAUCCUCGACACAUUCACACAAGGUGCCAACAAGGCCAGCUUCCCUCCAUCUUGUUAGCUCCAAUUUCUGCCCAGGAUGAGAAGGA
Long non-coding RNA from Mauremys reevesii (Reeves's turtle), 1090 nucleotides. RefSeq lists it as uncharacterized. The record is from RefSeq and is a predicted model, not a curated record. NCBI's taxonomy places the organism in Eukaryota, Metazoa, Chordata, Testudines, Geoemydidae. The transcript is spliced from 3 exons.